This is an RNA transcript of Phalaenopsis equestris, 2406 nucleotides long. It is a transcript of the gene named aspartate carbamoyltransferase, chloroplastic, with no coding region annotated. The transcript is spliced from 8 exons. Lineage: Eukaryota; Viridiplantae; Streptophyta; Magnoliopsida; Asparagales; Orchidaceae. The record is from RefSeq and is a predicted model, not a curated record.
UGGACAAAUGAUUAAGAAAUCGAGAUAAUUGAAUAAAAACCUUUAAAAUUAUUAAGCCAUAUUUUAUAGCUUUUAUCCAGCCCUAGCCUUCUUGGCCGGAAUCCCUCUCCCGCUCGCGUCCCCGCCGGCGAAGCCCCAGCUGGUGUCCUCCCUCUUGCACGCGCCCAAUCGCCGGCCACCGUUCUCCCUUUUCCACGCCGACUUGCUUCCUCCUCUCGCCGAAAGCCCUUACCCUUUUGGCCGAAGCUCUCGCCGAAUUCUAUCUCCAUCGCCGCUGGUGAGCCUCCCGCCGGCGACAUACUCUCCUCCCUGCUGGCCGCGUCCCCUUUUACUCUCACCCGAAACUCACGCACGGGGUUCCCCUUCACUCUGAAACCUCACCCGCUGGCAAACGGCACGGUCACCUUCUUCCCUCUCGCCGGAGGUCCUCGCCUGGCUUCUCUUCCCCUCGGUCGAAGGCCACGGGCGGUGCGUCGGCCCUGGCAUUUUACCUCGCCAGACGCCCGUCUUCUUUCUCUCUCAAGGUCUACCCUGUCGGCCUGGAAACCUCGCCGGUGACAUCACCCGCCAGCGAGCCCUCACUGCCGAAGCUCGCCGUCCCGCUUCCUCCUCUUUGCUGAAACCCUCGCCGGAGCUCGGGCCAUUGACAAAAAGACACAGGAUUCCCGGCUUGCAGGAAGCAUCGAAGCACUCUCCGUCAACCAUUACGAAGGAAAAUAUGAGCUCAAUGAUUUCAGGAACAUUCUGACGAUUUCUCUGCCACUGUAGCCUCUAGGCUUCCCAACUGACGUCAAGUCGGUCGCACAACUACGGAAGAAAAUUCUUACCCGCCCUCGGGGCGUCGCUAAACAGUAUCGCUUCUUCCGUUGGGCAGACAAUUCGACAGAUUCCCCUGACGACAGUGAUCCGGAAUAGAGAACAUUCAUUGAGGAAAGUCUAGCACGGGAGUUACACCGUCAGGAUGUUAAAAAUAAUAAAUUCGAAGGUCUUCAUAUUUUACUGUGUUUCUGAUGCCAUGACUGUAUCCACUCUAUGUACUUGCUCUACUACAAAUGGAAUGCAAAUUUCAAGAGCUUCAACAAACUUAUUUACUGAUGCGAAACCUUCGAUUUCCUUACGUAAAUCUCCACUCUUUCUCAACCCAUUUAAUAUUUACAAAAGCAAGCAAAUUGCAAGAAGUCAUUUUUCAUUCAGAAGUGAAUCCUCUUCAGUUGAGGUUGGAAACUUACCUAUUACACCAAAACCAAAGUUUCAGCUUGACGAUGUAAUUGAGUCCCAACAAUUUGAAAGAGAUACCUUAGAUGAUAUCUUCAAAGUGGCUCUGGAGAUGGAAUCGAUUGAGAAGAAUUCAUCUGGAAGCAAAAUAUUAGAUGGUUUCUUGAUGGCGACCUUGUUUUAUGAGCCUUCAACAAGAACCAGACUUUCCUUUGAAUCCGCAAUGAAAAGAUUGGGAGGAGAGGUUUUGACGACUGAAAAUGCACGAGAAUUUUCUUCAGCUGCAAAAGGAGAAACUCUCGAAGACACUAUAAGGAUAGUUGAAGGCUACUCUGAUAUAAUUGUGCUUCGUCACUUUGAAAGUGGGGCUGCCAGAAGGGCGGCUGCUACUGCAAAUAUUCCGAUUAUUAAUGCAGGAGAUGGCCCUGGACAGCAUCCAACUCAGGCUCUUUUAGAUGUCUACACAAUCGGAAGAGAAUUAGGAAGAUUUGAUGGAAUAAAAUUGGGCCUGGUGGGUGAUCUUGCUAAUGGAAGAACUGUUCGUUCGCUGGCUUAUUUGAUUUCAAAGUACCAAGAUAUCAAAAUCUACUUCAUCUCUCCUGAUGUUGUUAAGAUGAAGGAUGAUAUAAAAGAGUAUCUGACAGCAAAGGGUGUUGAAUGGGAAGAAAGCAGUGAUCUGUUGGAUGUGGCAUCAAAAUGUGAUGUAAUAUAUCAAACGAGGAUCCAGCGAGAAAGAUUUGGUGAGAGAAUAGAUUUGUAUGAAGCAGCUCGUGGAAAAUACGUAGUAGACAAUCAUGUUUUGAAUGUGAUGCCAAAGCAUGCAGUUUUGAUGCAUCCCCUUCCAAGACUUGACGAGAUUGCACUGGAAGUGGAUUCUGAUCCCAGAGCUGCUUAUUUUAGACAAGCAAAGAAUGGAUUGUUCAUAAGAAUGGCUGUUUUAAAGCUUCUACUUCUGGGUUGGAGAUGAAAGGGAGUUUACCAUCUUACAGAAUUGAAUCCAGGGGAAAUCACCGUGAGCUGAGAAUGAGGUGGACUUUUAUCUUAUUUUUGCUCCUCUGGAUGAGACUCAGUCGAAAUUUUUUUUUUUCCUGCAAGAACUGGCAGUAAAGAGAUGGAACUCAGUGACGCUUCUUUAUAAUAAGUAUUAGUCUUGGAUCUACGUAUUUAUUUUUGUGGGAAUGCGUUGAAUCA